GUAUCCUUCUGCUCUACUGACUUCUGGCUCUUCUGCUGAGAGCUCAGUCCUUUGCAAUUUCCAAGCUAGGUGACUGAGGGCAUUUCUCAUUUCCAUUUACCUGAUAACUGCUCACUUCCAUUCAAAUGACCCUCACAGCCCAAUCUGUUUCCAGCUUGUCACCUGUUAUCUUGCACCAAUCAGUCUUAAGUCCAUUCACAAUCUUUGCAUGGUUAAUGAGCCAUUGCAUACACAGUUCCUCUCGUAUGAUUAGGACCAUAUUUCACUGACCAUAUCCACUGUGCCCAAAACACUGCAGAUGUUUUUCAGAUACAGGAUUAAAUCCUUUUCCAAAGAACAUACAGUUGAAAUACCACCAAAAACCAAGUCAACAAGUGACACUGUUGCUCCUCAUCUCUCAGUGCACUGUUUCCUUCUGCUGUACUUGGCCAUCACCUUUGCCUUAAGACUUCCACAAAUGAUUUUAUGAUGUUUAACAGUGCAUCUAAUGGCAUGCAUCAGGUAUCCCUUUGCUCAGUAUUUGGCCACAAUCCAUUCCACUAUCAACAAUCACCCAUUCACUCUCUCUUUGGUAUUUCACCUCUUAUUAAAGGAUAACCUCCUUUCUUUCACACGUGAAUUUCCAAUUGUUUGUCUUUCCCUUACAAACUUCAAUGGCUUCUCUCACCAUGAAUGGCUCAUCAUCUUUAAUUUGUUCAUGCUACAUCUCCCUGGAUGAUGGAGCAGUUUAUAACUCUCUAUUUCAUAGCUAGAGAGCUGUGAGAUUAAUGCCUUGCCGAGGCCAUACAAGAAAUACAUAACAAAGCUGAGUAUUUCAUCUCUCCUAUCCCCUAACAUCAGCCUCCUAAUAUCACCACCAAUGAGCAUGCAAAAGUUUGACUGCUGCAUUCCUACAAAGGAAAUCCUUUCAUGCAGUGCCUUUUUGUUUGCUGGUUUUUUAAAUGGAAAUAGAUCAUUUUUUUUGUCUGAAAUAAAUUUAUCUCUGAGGUGAACUGCCAAGAAAUAUAGAAAAUACAGCUUAUUUUCUUUUAGACCCUAGCCCUAGUCUACUGGAUUGAAGACUGUCAUUGAUCUCAGCAGGAACCUGUGCAGACCCUUACCUGGCAUACAAAUGAUGCAGCAGAACAUAAAGCAGCAGAACAGUAAAAGGGUAUCCUCCCCCAAACUCAAUUCUGAACUGUGCUUUUAGGGAGGUGUUCUGAAAAUAUUCUCUGAACAUUGUGGCUCUUAGACUUGGGCUAGCUACUUUUCAUGGCAUUAUACAAGAGAUAAUCCAAACCCAGAGAUUUAAAAGCUUGUAAAUCCAUAAAAAUAACUCCUUUUUUUUUUUUUUUUCCCCACUCAGGUGACACCAACUUCCAGCAUUUAAUUAAGAUGCUCUCAAGGUGCUACAUGAACUGUGCAGGGAACUCAGAUUUACAAAUCUCAAUGUUCUAAAUUGUACCUAAAACUAGAUGCUGAAAUAUCAGUGACUUAAUAGUCUUGUCAGCAGGACUGCACACCUGGGUUAGCAGCAGUAUUUACCAAAAUCCUGCUAGUUAGAGCAGCAGCAUCUCCACACUUGUGUGAGUAAUUCACUCAUACCCAAAGAACAUUAUGAUAAUGAGCUUCUCCAUAAAACAGCAAUUUGCAGUAUUACCUAAAGUGGCAUCUAAGGCCCAACAACUACAUUGGUUUCAAAGCACACCUACAUUGACACUGGGAGG
Molecule: long non-coding RNA, 1706 nt
Organism: Taeniopygia guttata (zebra finch)
Lineage: Eukaryota; Metazoa; Chordata; Aves; Passeriformes; Estrildidae
Source: Ensembl